GACAGAGGGUGCUAGCGUUGUUCGGAAUGACUGGGCGUAAAGGGCGCGUAGGCGGUUUUUCAAGUCAGAUGUGAAAGCCCCGGGCUUAACCUGGGAACUGCAUUUGAUACUGGAUGACUGGAGUACGAGAGAGGAAAGCGGAAUUCCUAGUGUAGAGGUGAAAUUCGUAGAUAUUAGGAGGAACACCAGAGGCGAAGGCGGCUUUCUGGCUCGUAACUGACGCUGAGGCGCGAAAGCGUGGGGAGCAAACAGG
This 253-nucleotide ribosomal RNA is filed under the name uncultured bacterium. Its description in RNAcentral is "partial 16S ribosomal RNA". It matches the Rfam family "Bacterial small subunit ribosomal RNA", at positions 524 to 776 of the family's 1533-position model. The record is from RNAcentral.